Molecule: ribosomal RNA, 301 nt
Filed under: uncultured bacterium
Lineage: Bacteria
Description: partial 16S ribosomal RNA
Rfam family: Bacterial small subunit ribosomal RNA
Source: RNAcentral
CAGUAGCCACGGUAAUACAGAGGGUGCGAGCGUUAAUCGGAUUUACUGGGCGUAAAGCGUGCGUAGGCGGCUUCUUAAGUCGGAUGUGAAAUCCCUGAGCUUAACUUAGGAAUUGCAUUUGAUACUGGGAAGCUAGAGUAUGGGAGAGGAUGGUAGAAUUCCAGGUGUAGCGGUGAAAUGCGUAGAGAUCUGGAGGAAUACCGAUGGCGAAGGCAGCCAUCUGGCCUAAUACUGACGCUGAGGUACGAAAGCAUGGGGAGCAAACAGGAUUAGAUACCCGCGUAGUCCCUGUCUCUUAUAC